RNAcentral lists this ribosomal RNA (253 nucleotides) under uncultured bacterium. RNAcentral describes it as "partial 16S ribosomal RNA". It matches the Rfam family "Bacterial small subunit ribosomal RNA", at positions 524 to 776 of the family's 1533-position model. The record is from RNAcentral.
UACGGAGGGCGCGAGCGUUAAUCGGAAUUACUGGGCGUAAAGCGCGCGUAGGCUGUUGUGUAAGUUGGGGGUGAAAUCCCACGGCUCAGCCGUGGAACAGCCCUUGAUACUGCGCGACUUGAAUCCGGGAGAGGGUGGCGGAAUUCCAGGUGUAGGAGUGAAAUCCGUAGAUAUCUGGAGGAACAUCAGUGGCGAAGGCGGCCACCUGGACCGGUAUUGACGCUGAGGCGCGAAAGCGUGGGGAGCAAACAGG